Molecule: ribosomal RNA, 248 nt
Filed under: uncultured Anaerolineaceae bacterium
Lineage: Bacteria; Bacillati; Chloroflexota; Anaerolineae; Anaerolineales; Anaerolineaceae
Description: partial 16S ribosomal RNA
Rfam family: Bacterial small subunit ribosomal RNA
Source: RNAcentral
CUAGCCCUAAACGAUGUAGACUAGGCGUCGGAAGCUUAAUCGCUUUCGGUGUCCAAGCUAACGCGAUAAGUCUACCGCCUGGGGACUACGGCCGCAAGGUUAAAACUCAAGGGAAUUGACGGGUCCCCGCACAAGCAGCGGAGCGUGUGGUUUAAUUCGUUGCUACACGAAGAACCUUACCUGGGUUUGACAUAGCAGUGGUAGGGAAGCGAAAGCGGACCGACCCUUCGGGGAGCUGUUACAGGUGU